This 374-nucleotide ribosomal RNA is filed under the name uncultured eukaryote. RNAcentral describes it as "SSU rRNA". It matches the Rfam family "Eukaryotic small subunit ribosomal RNA", at positions 587 to 966 of the family's 1831-position model. The record is from RNAcentral.
AGCUCCAAUAGCGUAUAUUAAAGUUGUUGCGGUUAAAAGCUCGUAGUUGGAUUUCUGCUGAGGACGACCGGUCCGCCCUCUGGGUGAGUAUCUGGCUCGGCCUUGGCAUCUUCUUGGUGAACGUAUCUGCACUUGACUGUGUGGUGCGGUGGCCAGGACUUUUACUUUGAGGAAAUUAGAGUGUUUCAAGCAGGCAUACGCCUUGAAUACAUUAGCAUGGAAUAAUAAGAUAGGACCUCGGUUCUAUUUUGUUGGUUUCUAGGGCUGAGGUAAUGAUUAAUAGGGAUAGUUGGGGGCAUUCGUAUUAACGCGUCAGAGGUGGAAUUCUUGGAUUGCGUUACGACGAACUACUGCGAAAGCAUUUGCCAAGGAUG